RNAcentral lists this transfer RNA (113 nucleotides) under Caudoviricetes sp. Its description in RNAcentral is "tRNA-OTHER". The record is from RNAcentral. Lineage: Duplodnaviria; Heunggongvirae; Uroviricota; Caudoviricetes.
UUCCUCUUAGCUCAACGGUUAGAGCAUCGCUAAGGUUAUUUGUUCGUAAGGGUUUAGCGUUUCCGGUCUGUUCCGGUUAGCGAUUGUUGCACGUUCGAUUCGUGCAGAGGAAG